GUGCCAGCCGCCGCGGUAAUACGGAGGGUGCAAGCGUUGCUCGGAAUUACUGGGCGUAAAGCGUACGCAGGCUGUUCGUUAAGUCGGGUGUGAAAUCCCGGGGCUCAACCCCGGAAUUGCGCCCGAAACUGACGAGCUUGAGUGCGGGAGAGGGAAGCGGAAUUCCUGGUGUAGAGGUGAAAUUCGUAGAUAUCAGGAGGAACACCGGUGGCGAAAGCGGCUUCCUGGCCCGACACUGACGCUCAUGUACGAAAGCGUGGGGAGCAAACAGGAUUAGAAACCCCAGUAGUCC
Molecule: ribosomal RNA, 292 nt
Filed under: uncultured bacterium
Lineage: Bacteria
Description: partial 16S ribosomal RNA
Rfam family: Bacterial small subunit ribosomal RNA
Source: RNAcentral